AUUGAACGCUGGCGGCAUGCCUUACACAUGCAAGUCGAACGGUAACAGGUCUUCGGAUGCUGACGAGUGGCGAACGGGUGAGUAAUACAUCGGAACGUGCCCGAUCGUGGGGGAUAACGGAGCGAAAGCUCUGCUAAUACCGCAUACGAUCUACGGAUGAAAGCAGGGGACCGCAAGGCCUUGCGCGGACGGAGCGGCCGAUGGCAGAUUAGGUAGUUGGUGGGAUAAAAGCUUACCAAGCCGACGAUCUGUAGCUGGUCUGAGAGGACGACCAGCCACACUGGGACUGAGACACGGCCCAGACUCCUACGGGAGGCAGCAGUGGGGAAUUUUGGACAAUGGGCGAAAGCCUGAUCCAGCCAUGCCGCGUGCAGGAUGAAGGCCUUCGGGUUGUAAACUGCUUUUGUACGGAACGAAAAGACUCUUUCUAAUAAAGAGGGUCCAUGACGGUACCGUAAGAAUAAGCACCGGCUAACUACGUG
Molecule: ribosomal RNA, 482 nt
Filed under: uncultured bacterium
Lineage: Bacteria
Description: partial 16S ribosomal RNA
Rfam family: Bacterial small subunit ribosomal RNA
Source: RNAcentral